GAGGGCGGGGCCACAGGCCCAGCCCCCUGUCCUGGCUCCUCCUCUGCCUCCUGUCCGUCGGCCCGGCGGCCGCCAGCCUCCCGGGGCUGGAGCACGACUACGCCGUCAGCCCCAAGUUUGUGUGCACCCCCAUCCCGCCGGAGGCCGACCCCAGCUGCUACUCCCCGCCCCUGCCCCACGGCGGGGGGGGCGCGGGGCACGGCGGGGGGGGCCACAGUGCCGGGGGUCACGGCGGCGCCGGCCACAACGGCAGCAGCCGGCGUGCGGUGAUGUCGGAGGAGGCGAAGGCCACCAUCCUGCACCUGCGGGAGAGCCUGGUGCGGCAGAAGGAGGUGAUCCUGGACCAGCGCGAGACCAUCCGGGAGCUCACCGCCAAGCUGACGCUGUGCGAGGGCUUCGGAGGACACCAGGGCAUAGGUCACCACGACAACGGGCGCCAUGACAACGGUCACCACAACGAACACAACGAUCGACGCGGUGGUCACCACGGGCCCCACCGUGACCACUACUACCCCCACGGGGGCCACCAUCCCGACCCCCACCACCCAGACCCCCACCACCCAGACCCCCACCACCGUGAACCCCACCACCCAGACCCCCACCACCGUGACCCCCACCACCCAGAACCCCACCACCCAGACCCCCACCACCGAGACCCCCACCACCCAGACCCCCACCACCCCGACCCCCACCACCCCGACCCCCACCACCCAGACCCCCACCACCCCCCCAGGAAGAGCCCCUCCCACAGUAAGCCCAGCUCCUUCUCAGCCGAUCAGACGGCCAAGACCCUGCAGACGCUGAAGGAGAGGCUGGAGAACCUGCAGGUGAGACCAGCACUGGUCCCAGUCCAGUACCCCUGAGACCAGUGGACCACUGGUUGGACCACUGGUUGAUGUGUCUGUGUUCCCAGUGAACCACUGGUGAUGUGUCUGCGUUCCCAGUUAACCACUGGUUGAUGUGUCGGUGUUCCCAGUGGACCACUGGUUGGACCACUGGUUGAUGUGUCUUUGUGUGUCCUGUUCCCAGUGGACCACUGGUUGGACCACUGGUUGAUGUGUCUGUGUGUGUCGUGUUCCCAGUGGACCACUGGUUGGACCACUGGUUGACGUGUCUGUGUGUGUCGUGUUCCCAGUGGACCACUGGUUGGACCACUGGUUGAUGUGUCUGUGUGUCGCGUUCCCAGUGGACCACUGGUUGGACCACUGGUUGAUGUGUCUGUGUGUGUCGUGUUCCCAGUGGACCACUGGUUGGACCACUGGUUGAUGUGUCUUUGUGUGUCGUGUUCCCAGUGGACCACUGGUUGGACCACUGGUUGAUGUGUCUGUGUGUGUCGUGUUCCCAGUGGACCACUGGUUGGACCACUGGUUGAUGUGUCUUUGUGUGUCGUGUUCCCAGUGGACCACUGGUUGGACCACUGGUUGAUGUGUCUUUGUGUGUCGUGUUCCCAGUGGACCACUGGUUGGACCACUGGUUGAUGUGUCUGUGUGUCGUGUUCCCAGUGGACCACUGGUUGGACCACUGGUUGAUGUGUCUUUGUGUGUCGUGUUCCCAGUGGACCACUGGUUGGACCACUGGUUGAUGUGUCUGUUUGUGUCGUGUUCCCAGUGGACCACUGGUUGGACCACUGGUUGAUGUGUCUUUGUGUGUCGUGUUCCCAGUGGACCACUGGUUGGACCACUGGUUGAUGUGUCUUUGUGUGUCGUGUUCCCAGUGGACCACUGGUUGGACCACUGGUUGAUGUGUCUGUUUGUGUCGUGUUCCCAGUGGACCACUGGUUGGACCACUGGUUGAUGUGUCUUUGUGUGUCGUGUUCCCAGUGGACCACUGGUUGGACCACUGGUUGAUGUGUCUUUGUGUGUCGUGUUCCCAGUGGACCACUGGUUGGACCACUGGUUGAUGUGUCUUUGUGUGUCGUGUUCCCAGUGGACCACUGGUUGGACCACUGGUUGAUGUGUCUGUGUGUCGUGUUCCCAGUGGACCACUGGUUGGACCACUGGUUGAUGUGUCUGUGUGUCGCGUUCCCAGUGGACCACUGGUUGGACCACUGGUUGAUGUGUCUUUGUGUGUCGUGUUCCCAGUGGACCACUGGUUGGACCACUGGUUGAUGUGUCUGUGUGUGUCGUGUUCCCAGUGGACCACUGGUUGGACCACUGGUUGAUGUGUCUGUGGGUCGUGUUCCCAGUGGACCACUGGUUGGACCACUGGUUGAUGUGUCUGUGGGUCGUGUUCCCAGUGGACCACUGGUUGGACCACUGGUUGAUGUGUCUUUGUGUGUCGUGUUCCCAGUGGACC
This is a long non-coding RNA of Gadus morhua (Atlantic cod), 2295 nucleotides long. NCBI's taxonomy places the organism in Eukaryota, Metazoa, Chordata, Actinopteri, Gadiformes, Gadidae. The record is from Ensembl.